This 253-nucleotide ribosomal RNA is filed under the name uncultured bacterium. Its description in RNAcentral is "partial 16S ribosomal RNA". It matches the Rfam family "Bacterial small subunit ribosomal RNA", at positions 524 to 776 of the family's 1533-position model. The record is from RNAcentral.
UACGUAGGUGGCAAGCGUUGUCCGGAUUUAUUGGGUUUAAAGGGUGCUUAGGCGGUCUGUUAAGUCAGUGGUGAAAUACUUCAGCUCAACUGGAGGGGUGCCAUUGAUACUGGCGGACUUGAGUACUGAUGAGGUAGGCGGAAUGGACGGUGUAGCGGUGAAAUGCUUAGAUAUCGUCCAGAACACCGAUAGCGAAGGUAGCUUACUAAGGAGUAAAUGACGCUGAGGCACGAAAGUGUGGGGAUCAAACAGG